UUUUUUCUGAGCUGAGACUUGGUUUGCUGCUUCCCUCCAGCCAAGGACCUCAUCCAGCCUCUUCCAAAGGACCUUAAACGUGGAGAUGAUUUUUUUGCAGUGAUGAUCUUAAACAGGGAUCAGCUGUGCCAGAGGAGGGAUUUUAACCCAUCCUGGAGCUCUGCUGCCUCAUGGGUGCCCUGGCUAUCCUGGUAUCCUGGAGAUAAAAAACCUUUCCACCUGCUGGAGGUCUCAAACCUUUGCUUUGUCCCUGUGCAGCCUUACCACAACCAGCUGAAGUUCAGGGCCUCAAAAGGAGGGAGUGAUUUUGCCCAACGUUUGAAUUUGAUCCAACAUCCCUGCCUGGCGGUGUUCCAUCAAACUGCUCCUGGUCCGAGGGUGCUGCUGCCUCCAGAGGGACACGGCUGGCUCCUGGACCAGGCUCUGUGUGGCUGCCAUGGAAACGGCCUGAAAUUAGGAAAUCAAUUAAAGCUGGAAAAAGUGCUAUCA
Molecule: long non-coding RNA, 489 nt
Organism: Passer domesticus (house sparrow)
Lineage: Eukaryota; Metazoa; Chordata; Aves; Passeriformes; Passeridae
Exons: 2
Source: RefSeq, a predicted model, not a curated record